GGAUGAACGCUGGCGGCGUGCCUACUACAUGCAAGUCGAGCGAACGGACGAGAAGCUUGCUUCUCUGAUGUUAGCGGCGGACGGGUAAGUAACACGUGGAUAACCUACCUAUAAGACUGGGAUAACUUCGGGAAACCGGAGCUAAUACCGGAUAAUAUUUUGAACCGCAUGGUUCAAAAGUGAAAGACGGUCUUGCUGUCACUUAUAGAUGGAUCCGCGCUGCAUUAGCUAGUUGGUAAGGUAACGGCUUACCAAGGCAACGAUGCAUAGCCGACCUGAGAGGGUGAUCGGCCACACUGGAACUGAGACACGGUCCAGACUCCUACGGGAGGCAGCAGUAGGGAAUCUUCCGCAAUGGGCGAAAGCCUGACGGAGCAACGCCGCGUGAGUGAUGAAGAUCUUCGGAUCGUAAAACUCUGUUAUUAGGGAAGAACAUAUGUGUAAGUAACUGUGCACAUCUUGACGGUACCUAAUCAGAAAGCCACGGCUAACUACGUG
RNAcentral lists this ribosomal RNA (498 nucleotides) under uncultured bacterium. RNAcentral describes it as "partial 16S ribosomal RNA". It matches the Rfam family "Bacterial small subunit ribosomal RNA", at positions 27 to 507 of the family's 1533-position model. The record is from RNAcentral.